This 954-nucleotide long non-coding RNA is filed under the name Sinocyclocheilus anshuiensis. RNAcentral describes it as "lncRNA (ENSSANG00000032597.1)". Lineage: Eukaryota; Metazoa; Chordata; Actinopteri; Cypriniformes; Cyprinidae. The record is from RNAcentral.
CAGCUACUGACACCUUAACAUUCGGAAAGCCGAUAACCCUCAAGGUCAUACCAAAAGAUGCAGCGCCAACUCCUCCGUUUCUGUCCAUCUUGUCCCCUUUCAAUGGCAAAGGACCAGAUAUUUGUCUGGCCGCCGGGUUCUUUCCUCAAGAAAAGACUAUGACUUUGAAUGUGAAAGGGAAAGAACCUGAGAAUUUUACCACCAGCAAUGCACCUUUGUUCAAAUCGUCCAAAACCUAUUAUUAUGCUGGAUCCCCUGAUGAUGAAAUCCAAAAAUGCCAAAUGGAUGAAGAAACUGCAGACAAAACUCCUGACACUCCUGUCACGACAGAUAAACCCGAAAAACUGACUCCACAGUCUUGUGAAACAAAUGCUAGAACUUCUGCCUCAGGGUUCAUAGACACUGGUGAUCCAAAAAUGAACUUCAUGAAUCUUCUUGUGACAGGUCUGAGAAUUCUGCUUGCUAAAUGUGUUGCAGUUAAUGUAAUGAUGACUGUAAAGGCAUUCGUAUUUUAAAAGUUCAAUCCAGCCAAAUCAUCUGAAUAAUCUCAAUUUUGAACUGGAGCUUGAUCGAACCCUGACAAACAAACAAAUGCGGUUAUACAGUCAGUCACAGGGUCAGUAUUAAUCUAUAUUCUGUCUAAUAAUGUUAAAUGGAAUGAAAAAUACAAAUUGUUAGUAAUGUCUUUCAUAUAUAAAGAAUAUCGACAAACAUUGCAAACCUUUUUGACAUUUAGAAACAUUUCUGAAUUCAGUGGUGUAAUGUGCGUAUUGCUUUGCAAUGGUGUGUGUAUUUUCUGGCUUUAGUUGCAAACAGGUGCAAGUAAAUUUUUUGUAUACUUUUAAAUUUUUUACUUUUUUAAUUUUUUUACAUAACAGCAUUGCAUUGUUUAAGACUUUUACAUUGUCUAAUUGUGUAACGGAUUACCAUUUGACUUAACUAUUGAGGCUCUGA